AUCUGAGUAAAAAAAGGAAAUACGCCCGGAAAAAAUAGACAAAUUCCUAUUAAGAAGAUACGGAAAUAAUAUGUCCGAGCGAUCUUCUUUUUAUUUCGUUUUCAAUUAACUCAAUAAAGUCACGGUUUAAAUUCAUUUCGGUGGCUUUGAAAUAAGAUUCUAUUAGUAAUUCAUCAGACAGUUUUCUCAUGCUAGGAACCCAAUUAAUGGGAGAGGCACCUCCUUAAAAGUUGGAAUCAUUCAUGAUUUUAACGCAUAC
Molecule: unclassified non-coding RNA, 259 nt
Filed under: Bacillus subtilis subsp. subtilis str. 168
Lineage: Bacteria; Bacillati; Bacillota; Bacilli; Caryophanales; Bacillaceae
Description: antisense RNA
Source: RNAcentral